CCUACGGGUGGCAGCAGUGGGGAAUAUUGGACAAUGGGCGAAAGCCUGAUCCAGCCAUGCCGCGUGUGUGAAGAAGGCCUUCGGGUUGUAAAGCACUUUCAGUGGGGAAGAAAGCCUUGGGGCUAAUACCCUCGAGGAAGGACAUCACCCACAGAAGAAGCACCGGCUAACUCCGUGCCAGCAGCCGCGGUAAUACGGAGGGUGCGAGCGUUAAUCGGAAUUACUGGGCGUAAAGCGCGCGUAGGCGGUCUGAUAAGCCGGUUGUGAAAGCCCCGGGCUCAACCUGGGAACGGCAUCCGGAACUGUCAGGCUAGAGUGCAGGAGAGGAAGGUAGAAUUCCCGGUGUAGCGGUGAAAUGCGUAGAGAUCGGGAGGAAUACCAGUGGCGAAGGCGGCCUUCUGGACUGACACUGACGCUGAGGUGCGAAAGCGUGGGUAGCAAACAGGAUUAGCUACCCCGGUAGUC
Molecule: ribosomal RNA, 465 nt
Filed under: Vreelandella stevensii
Lineage: Bacteria; Pseudomonadati; Pseudomonadota; Gammaproteobacteria; Oceanospirillales; Halomonadaceae
Description: partial 16S ribosomal RNA
Rfam family: Bacterial small subunit ribosomal RNA
Source: RNAcentral